RNAcentral lists this ribosomal RNA (1548 nucleotides) under Hysterium pulicare. RNAcentral describes it as "bacterial SSU rRNA". It matches the Rfam family "Eukaryotic small subunit ribosomal RNA", at positions 67 to 1107 of the family's 1831-position model. The record is from RNAcentral. Lineage: Eukaryota; Fungi; Ascomycota; Dothideomycetes; Hysteriales; Hysteriaceae.
UAGCAUUAUACCGUGAAACUGCGAAUGGCUCAUUAAAUCAGUUAUCGUUUAUUUGAUAGUACCUUACUACUUGGAUAACCGUGGUAAUUCUAGAGCUAAUACAUGCUAAAAACCCCGACUUCGGGAGGGGUGUAUUUAUUAGAUAAAAAACCAAUGCCCUUCGGGGCUCCUUGGUGAUUCAUGAUAACUUAACGGAUCGCAUGGCCUUGCGCCGGCGACGGUUCAUUCAAAUUUCUGCCCUAUCAACUUUCGAUUGUAGGGUAUUGGCCUACAAUGGUUUCAACGGGUAACGGGGAGUUAGGGCUCGACUCCGGAGAGGGAGCCUGAGAAACGUAAGUUUAUCUGUCUCCCAGAAACUUUUUUGAGUUUGGCUUAUCUUUGCAUGCAGUUCUAAACAUCCAGAUGCUUUUGAACUUAAUACUAACCUAACUUUUAGGGCUACCACAUCCAAGGAAGGCAGCAGGCGCGCAAAUUACCCAAUCCCGACACGGGGAGGUAGUGACAAUAAAUACUGAUACAGGGCUCUUUUGGGUCUUGUAAUUGGAAUGAGUACAAUUUAAAUACCUUAACGAGGAACAAUUGGAGGGCAAGUCUGGUGCCAGCAGCCGCGGUAAUUCCAGCUCCAAUAGCGUAUAUUAAAGUUGUUGCAGUUAAAAAGCUCGUAGUUGAACCUUGGGCCUGGCUGGCCGGUCCGCCUCACCGCGUGCACUGGUCCGGCCGGGCCUUUCCUUCUGGAGAGCCGCAUGCCCUUCACUGGGUGUGUCGGGGAACCAGGACUUUUACUUUGAGAAAAUUAGAGUGUUCAAAGCAGGCCUUUGCUCGAAUACGUUAGCAUGGAAUAAUAGAAUAGGACGUGCGGUCCUAUUUUGUUGGUUUCUAGGACCGCCGUAAUGAUUAAUAGGGAUAGUCGGGGGCAUCAGUAUUCAAUUGUCAGAGGUGAAAUUCUUGGAUUUAUUGAAGACUAACUACUGCGAAAGCAUUUGCCAAGGAUGUUUUCAUUAAUCAGUGAACGAAAGUUAGGGGAUCGAAGACGAUUGUUGAGAAACGACAUUCAAGCAAUAUUAGAUGCGUACAUUAAAAAUAGAGCUUGAGGGAAUUCUGGUCGUCGAAAGCGUAAAAGCUAGUCUGCUAGUCUGCAGGCAACACCAUCAAAUUGCGGGGACACCUGGAAAGCCAAAGUACCACUUACAUGCAGAAAUGCGGUGUAUAGAGCUUGGGAGAGAGACCCGAGUGAAGGUAAAAACCUGAGGCUUGUGAGGGGGGGGUAAAUUUAAAACAUCCCGUAACCCAACCCCUCCGACAGGUAAUCCGCAGCCAAGCCCUAAACCCGCAUCAGUGGGCAGGGGUGCAGUUCACAGGCCAAAUGUUGGUGGGUAGGAGAGAUUGUCUUUCCUGCUUAAGAUAUGGUCGAACCCGGUGCGAGAGCGCUGGGAAAAGGGAGAUCAAAUGCAGAUACCGUCGUAGUCUUAACCGUAAACUAUGCCGACUAGGGAUCGGGCGAUGUUAUUAUUUUGACUCGCUCGGCACCUUACGAGAAAUCAAAGUUUU